AGUGGGAUAACUGGGUCAAAUGGUAGUUUCACUUCAGUUUUUCUGAGGAAUCUUCAUACUUCUUUCCAUAGUGGUUGUACCAAUUUGUAGUCCCACAGCUAU
This 102-nucleotide microRNA precursor is filed under the name Marmota monax (woodchuck). Lineage: Eukaryota; Metazoa; Chordata; Mammalia; Rodentia; Sciuridae. The record is from RNAcentral.